Nannospalax galili (Upper Galilee mountains blind mole rat) is the source of this 104-nucleotide small nucleolar RNA. The record is from Ensembl. NCBI's taxonomy places the organism in Eukaryota, Metazoa, Chordata, Mammalia, Rodentia, Spalacidae.
AAUGUUAACUAAAGGGAUGAUGUUUACAUUGAGACCCAAGAAAAGGAUUCUGAGUUUCAGAGCUCUGAAUGAACCACUUUGUCCCCGACCUUCAAAAAGAGUAU